UGAACCUGCGGAGGGAUCAUUACAAGUGACCCCGGUCUAACCACCGGGAUGUUCAUAACCCUUUGUUGUCCGACUCUGUUGCCUCCGGGGCGACCCUGCCUUCGGGCGGGGGCUCCGGGUGGACACUUCAAACUCUUGCGUAACUUUGCAGUCUGAGUAAACUUAAUUAAUAAAUUAAAACUUUUAACAACGGAUCUCUUGGUUCUGGCAUCGAUGAAGAACGCAGCGAAAUGCGAUAAGUAAUGUGAAUUGCAGAAUUCAGUGAAUCAUCGAAUCUUUGAACGCACAUUGCGCCCCCUGGUAUUCCGGGGGGCAUGCCUGUUCGAGCGUCAUUUCACCACUCAAGCCUCGCUUGGUAUUGGGCAUCGCGGUCCGCCGCGUGCCUCAAAUCGACCGGCUGGGUCUUCUGUCCCCUAAGCGUUGUGGAAACUAUUCGCUAAAGGGUGUUCGGGAGGCUACGCCGUAAAACAACCCCAUUUCUAAGGUUGACCUCGGAUCAGG
Molecule: ribosomal RNA, 501 nt
Filed under: Cladosporium cladosporioides
Lineage: Eukaryota; Fungi; Ascomycota; Dothideomycetes; Cladosporiales; Cladosporiaceae
Description: eukaryotic LSU rRNA
Rfam family: 5.8S ribosomal RNA (bases 179-332)
Source: RNAcentral